This 492-nucleotide ribosomal RNA is filed under the name uncultured bacterium. RNAcentral's name for it is "partial 16S ribosomal RNA". It matches the Rfam family "Bacterial small subunit ribosomal RNA", at positions 29 to 507 of the family's 1533-position model. The record is from RNAcentral.
AGUGAACGCUGGCGGUAGGCCUAACACAUGCAAGUCGAACGGCAGCACAGUAAGAGCUUGCUCUUACGGGUGGCGAGUGGCGGACGGGUGAGGAAUACAUCGGAAUCUACUUUUUCGUGGGGGAUAACGUAGGGAAACUUACGCUAAUACCUCAUACGACCUACGGGUGAAAGCAGGGGAUCUUCGGACCUUGCGCGAUUGGAUGAGCCGAUGUCGGAUUAGCUAGUUGGCGGGGUAAAGGCCCACCAAGGCGACGAUCCGUAGCUGGUCUGAGAGGAUGAUCAGCCACACUGGAACUGAGACACGGUCCAGACUCCUACGGGAGGCAGCAGUGGGGAAUAUUGGACAAUGGGCGCAAGCCUGAUCCAGCCAUACCGCGUGAGUGAAGAAGGCCUUCGGGUUGUAAAGCCCUUUUGUUGGGAAAGAAAAGCAGCAGGUUAAUACCCCGCUGUUCUGACGGUACCCAAAGAAUAAGCACCGGCUAACUUCGUG